AGGACGAACGCUGGCGGCGUAGCUUAACACAUGCAAGUCGAACGGAGAAUAGAAGGAAGCUGCGAAUCUAUCUAGUGGCGGACGGGUGAGUAACGCGUGGGUAACCAACCCAGUAACACCGGGGACAACCCUGGGGAAACUGGGGCUAAUACCGGAUACGUUCUUUCUAGGGGCAUCCUGGGGGAAGAAGAAAGGCGGCCUCUGAAUAUGCUGCCGAUUAUGGACGGACCCGCGUCUGAUUAGCUAGUUGGUGGGGUAACGGCCUACCAAGGCGACGAUCAGUAGCCGGCCUGAGAGGGUGACCGGCCACACUGGGACUGAGACACGGCCCAGACUCCUACGGGAGGCAGCAGUGGGGAAUAUUGCGCAAUGGGCGAAAGCCUGACGCAGCAACGCCGCGUGAGUGAGGAAAAGGCCUUCGGGUCGUAAAGCUCUGUCAAGAGGAAAGAAGUGUACAAUGGCUAAUACCUGUUGUAUUUGACGGUACCUCUAAAGGAAGCACCGGCUAACUCCGUGCCAGCAGCUGC
RNAcentral lists this ribosomal RNA (527 nucleotides) under uncultured bacterium. RNAcentral describes it as "bacterial SSU rRNA". It matches the Rfam family "Bacterial small subunit ribosomal RNA", at positions 26 to 518 of the family's 1533-position model. The record is from RNAcentral.